RNAcentral lists this ribosomal RNA (402 nucleotides) under bacterium Fuku2-ISO-167. Its description in RNAcentral is "bacterial SSU rRNA". It matches the Rfam family "Bacterial small subunit ribosomal RNA", at positions 427 to 821 of the family's 1533-position model. The record is from RNAcentral.
AAAGCACUUUUGUCCGGAAAGAAAUGGCUCUGGUUAAUACCUGGGGUCGAUGACGGUACCGGAAGAAUAAGGACCGGCUAACUACGUGCCAGCAGCCGCGGUAAUACGUAGGGUCCAAGCGUUAAUCGGAAUUACUGGGCGUAAAGCGUGCGCAGGCGGUUGUGCAAGACCGAUGUGAAAUCCCCGAGCUUAACUUGGGAAUUGCAUUGGUGACUGCACGGCUAGAGUGUGUCAGAGGGGGGUAGAAUUCCACGUGUAGCAGUGAAAUGCGUAGAGAUGUGGAGGAAUACCGAUGGCGAAGGCAGCCCCCUGGGAUAACACUGACGCUCAUGCACGAAAGCGUGGGGAGCAAACAGGAUUAGAUACCCUGGUAGUCCACGCCCUAAACGAUGUCAACUAGUU